RNAcentral lists this long non-coding RNA (272 nucleotides) under Homo sapiens (human). RNAcentral describes it as "non-protein coding lnc-TDP1-8:1". The record is from RNAcentral. Lineage: Eukaryota; Metazoa; Chordata; Mammalia; Primates; Hominidae.
GAAAACUUUUUUUGCUAUUUUUUAAUGGAAAAGGAACAGUUUCAAUAUUCAGUUUAUCUUCUUUAUCCAGCCUCUUCUUUUUGUGUUGUAGAAAUUCCACAGUGAACACUUAUACUUCAUCCGUUGACUCUAGAUGACACUGAACCUCACGAUAGGAAACUUUCAGUGUGAGAUGGAUCAUCUCGUUUCAAAGAGCAAAGAACUGAUCCCUGAAAAGAUUGAGAGAAGGUGAGCUUCCAUUGAUAAAAACCAGGAAUACAGGUUUUUCAUAU